UGGCGGCGUGCUUAAGACAUGCAAUUCCAACGGAAAGGCUCUCUUCGGAGAGUACUCGAGUGGCGCACGGGUGAGUAACGCGUGGGUAAUCUGCCCUUUCGUCGGGGACAACUCCGGGAAACUGGAGCUAAUACCGGAUGAGACCACGGAGUCUUCGGACUCUGCGGAAAAAGGUGGCCUCUCCUUGGAAGCUAUCGCGAGAGGAUGAGCCCGCGUCCCAUUAGCUUGUUGGUGAGGUAACGGCUCACCAAGGCUCCGAUGGGUAGCUGGUCUGAGAGGAUGAUCAGCCACACUGGAACUGAGACACGGUCCAGACUCCUACGGGAGGCAGCAGUCG
RNAcentral lists this ribosomal RNA (337 nucleotides) under uncultured Desulfovibrionales bacterium. RNAcentral describes it as "bacterial SSU rRNA". It matches the Rfam family "Bacterial small subunit ribosomal RNA", at positions 37 to 357 of the family's 1533-position model. Lineage: Bacteria; Pseudomonadati; Thermodesulfobacteriota; Desulfovibrionia; Desulfovibrionales. The record is from RNAcentral.